UUAGAGUUUGAUCCUGGCUCAGGACGAACGCUGGCGGCGUGCCUAACACAUGCAAGUCGAACGGGGAUAGAUUGAAGGUUUACCUGAUAUCUAUUCUAGUGGCGGACGGGUGAGUAACGCGUGAGCAAUCUGCCUUGUACUGGGGGAUAACGUCGAGAAAUCGGCGCUAAUACCGCAUAAUACUAUUAGAUCGCAUGGUCAUAUAGUCAAAACUCCGGUGGUACAAGAUGAGCUCGCGUCCAAUUAGCUAGUUGGUGAGGUAAUGGCCCACCAAGGCGACGAUUGGUAGCCGAACUGAGAGGUUGAUCGGCCACAUUGGGACUGAGACACGGCCCAGACUCCUACGGGAGGCAGCAGUGGGGAAUAUUGGACAAUGGAUGGAAAUCUGAUCCAGCCAUGCCGCGUGCAGGAAGACGGCCUUAUGGGUUGUAAACUGCUUUUAUACGGGAGCAAUAAGGGUUACGAGUAAUCCGAUGAGAGUACUGUAUGAAUAAGGAUCGGCUAACUCCGUGCCAGCAGCCGCGGUAAUACGGAGGAUCCGAGCGUUAUCCGGAAUUAUUGGGUUUAAAGGGUGCGUAGGCGGCCAUUUAAGUCAGCGGUGAAAUUUUGCAGCUUAACUGUAACAGUGCCGUUGAUACUGUUUGGCUAGGAUUUGGUUGUAGUGUGCGGAAUGUGUGGUGUAGCGGUGAAAUGCUUAGAUAUCACACAGAACACCGAUUGCGAAGGCAGCACACUAAGUCAUUAUUGACGCUGAGGCACGAAAGUGUGGGGAUCAAACAGGAUUAGAUACCCUGGUAGUCCACACUGUAAACGAUGAUAACUCGCUGUCGGCGAUACACAGUCGGUGGCCAAGCGAAAGCAUUAAGUUAUCCACCUGGGGAGUACGCCCGCAAGGUUGAAACUCAAAGGAAAAGACGGGGGCCCGCACAAGCGGAGGAACAUGUGGUUUAAUUCGAUGAUACGCGAGGAACCUUACCCGGGCUCGAACGGUGCAUGAAUAUACGAGAGAUUGUAUAGUCCUUCGGGACAUGUAUCGAGGUGCUGCAUGGUUGUCGUCAGCUCGUGCCGUGAGGUGUCGGCUUAAGUGCCAUAACGGGCGCAACCCUUGUCAUUAGUUGCCAUCAGGUCAAGCUGGGGACUUUAAUGAGACUGCCACCGUAAGGUGUGAGGAAGGGGGGGAGGACGUCAAAUCAGCACGGCCCUUAUGUCCGGGGCGACACACGUGAUACAAUGGGAGGUACAGAGGGCAGCUAUCCGGUGACGGAAUGCUAAUCUCCAAAACCUUUCUCAGUUCGGAUUGGAGUGUGCAACUCGACUCCAUGAAGGUGGAUUCGCUAGUAAUCGCGCAUCAGCCAUGGCGC
RNAcentral lists this ribosomal RNA (1361 nucleotides) under uncultured bacterium. Its description in RNAcentral is "bacterial SSU rRNA". It matches the Rfam family "Bacterial small subunit ribosomal RNA", at positions 1 to 1360 of the family's 1533-position model. The record is from RNAcentral.